Molecule: long non-coding RNA, 613 nt
Filed under: Homo sapiens (human)
Lineage: Eukaryota; Metazoa; Chordata; Mammalia; Primates; Hominidae
Description: non-protein coding lnc-ZNF142-4:1
Source: RNAcentral
AAAGAUAAAUACUCUGCUUUUCUUUUAGUCAUUUUUAAACUAUUCUUGUUAUUAUCAUAGACUUUGAAGAUUUUCCUAUGUAUUUUUACCCCCAUUUUUUAAGGAUUUCUUGUUUCAGUGUUCUCUAGGUAAUGGUAUUCACCCCAACUUUUCAUCCUUUUAAAGCAGUUGUUCUUAGUGGGCUGUCACGAGAAGAUUGAGUUCCAUUAUGCGAAAGGGGUAGCGUUACACCUAACAGACAAGAAAUUCUACCUAACCUAAAGGCCGAAGAACUGGAGUAUUCUUGUGAGAAGUGUGGUGGGAAGUGUGCUCUUGUCAGGCACAAAUUUAACAGGCUUCCUAGGGUCCUCAUUCUCCAUUUGAAACGAUAUAGCUUCAAUGUGGCUCUCUCGCUUAACAAUAAGAUUGGGCAGCAAGUCAUCAUUCCAAGAUACCUGACCCUGUCAUCUCAUUGCACUGAAAAUACAAAACCACCUUUUACCCUUGGUUGGAGUGCACAUAUGGCAAUUUCUAGACCAUUGAAAGCCUCUCAAAUGGUGAAUUCCUGCAUCACCAGCCCUUCUACACCUUCAAAGAAAUUCACCUUCAAAUCCAAGAGCUCCUUGGCUUUAUG